Drosophila rhopaloa is the source of this 294-nucleotide long non-coding RNA. RefSeq lists it as uncharacterized. The record is from RefSeq and is a predicted model, not a curated record. The transcript is spliced from 2 exons. Lineage: Eukaryota; Metazoa; Arthropoda; Insecta; Diptera; Drosophilidae.
AGCUAAACACAUUGUUAAUUAAUUAAGUAAAAGAAACUAAAAUAUACGUUAAAAUUAGUAUAGAUUUCGACAAAUAUUGGUGUUGGCGGUGCUUCGAAAUGGAGAAGACUUUAAAGGAGCAGAACAGCAAUGUUGUCUGUCAAGAGGAAAAAUAUGCGGUUCCAAAUAAGCGGGCGAAAUAUGGGCAAUCUGCUGUAUGGAACUAUUUUGACAAAUCGGCUGAUUGCAAGACAGCCAAAUGUAUAAAAUGUGGUAAAACCUACCAAACAAGUGGCAAUACGACAAACUUGUCUU